Molecule: ribosomal RNA, 844 nt
Filed under: Neoeucasphaeria eucalypti
Lineage: Eukaryota; Fungi; Ascomycota; Sordariomycetes; Hypocreales; Niessliaceae
Description: partial 28S ribosomal RNA
Rfam family: Eukaryotic large subunit ribosomal RNA
Source: RNAcentral
ACCAACAGGGAUUGCCCUAGUAACGGCGAGUGAAGCGGCAACAGCUCAAAUUUGAAAUCUGGCCCUUGUGGUCCGAGUUGUAAUUUGUAGAGGAUGCUUUUGGCGCGGUGCCUUCCGAGUUCCCUGGAACGGGACGCCAUAGAGGGUGAGAGCCCCGUCUGGUUGGACACCAAGCCUCUGUAAAGCUCCUUCGACGAGUCGAGUAGUUUGGGAAUGCUGCUCUAAAUGGGAGGUAUAUGUCUUCUAAAGCUAAAUAUUGGCCAGAGACCGAUAGCGCACAAGUAGAGUGAUCGAAAGAUGAAAAGCACUUUGAAAAGAGGGUUAAAUAGUACGUGAAAUUGUUGAAAGGGAAGCGUUUGUGACCAGACUUGGGCCCGGUUAAUCAUCCAGCGUUCUCGCUGGUGCACUUUGCCGGCCCAGGCCAGCAUCAGUUCGCGCCGGGGGAUAAAGGUUUCGGGAACGUGGCUCCCCUCGGGGAGUGUUAUAGCCCGUUGCGUAAUACCCUGGUGCGGACUGAGGUUCGCGCUCCGCAAGGAUGCUGGCGUAAUGGUCAUCAGCGACCCGUCUUGAAACACGGACCAAGGAGUCGUCUUCGUAUGCGAGUGUUCGGGUGUCAAACCCCUACGCGUAAUGAAAGUGAACGCAGGUGAGAGCUUCGGCGCAUCAUCGACCGAUCCUGAUGUUCUCGGAUGGAUUUGAGUAAGAGCAUACGGGGCCGGACCCGAAAGAAGGUGAACUAUGCCUGUAUAGGGUGAAGCCAGAGGAAACUCUGGUGGAGGCUCGCAGCGGUUCUGACGUGCAAAUCGAUCGUCAAAUAUGGGCAUGGGGGCGAAAGACUAAUCGA